Molecule: ribosomal RNA, 262 nt
Filed under: uncultured bacterium
Lineage: Bacteria
Description: partial 16S ribosomal RNA
Rfam family: Bacterial small subunit ribosomal RNA
Source: RNAcentral
CGUACGCGAGACGGGUGAGUAACGCGUGGGUAACCUGCCUCAUACAGGGGGAUAACAGUUAGAAAUGACUGCUAAUACCGCAUAAGCGCACAGGACCGCAUGGUCCGGUGUGAAAAACUCCGGUGGUAUGAGAUGGACCCGCGUCUGAUUAGCUGGUUGGCGGGGUAACGGCCCACCAAGGCGACGAUCAGUAGCCGACCUGAGAGGGUGGCCGGCCACAUUGGGACUGAGACACGGCCCAAACUCCUACGGGAGGCAGCAG